This 247-nucleotide ribosomal RNA is filed under the name uncultured bacterium. RNAcentral's name for it is "partial 16S ribosomal RNA". It matches the Rfam family "Bacterial small subunit ribosomal RNA", at positions 523 to 769 of the family's 1533-position model. The record is from RNAcentral.
AUACGUAGGGAGCAAGCGUUAUCCGGAUUUACUGGGUGUAAAGGGCGCGUAGGCGGGACUGCAAGUCAGGUGUGAAAUCUGGUGGCUCAACCACCAAACUGCACUUGAAACUGUGGUUCUUGAGUGAUGGAGAGGCAAGUGGAAUUCCUAGUGUAGCGGUGAAAUGCGUAGAUAUUAGGAGGAACACCAGUGGCGAAGGCGACUCUCUGGACUGUAACUGACGCUGAGACGCGAAAGCGUGGGGAGC